UUAAUCGAUAACCCUUAAAUGCAAAAUGUAAAUUCCUUGUCAACGUCCAUCUCUGAUCAGGCUGUCAAUAUCGGCACUGAUUUUCGCCCAAUAAACCGCAUGAUCAAAUUCUAGAGAGUGAACAAAAGUUAAGCAAAAUAAGCCUCAUAGAUUAUUCGCAAUUGAAAUUCAAUAGAAAAUAUGACUUGCAAUGGACUGCAAACAAUUUUCUUGAGUUGAUUAACUCUGCAAGAGCUUGUGUGGUGCUCCGAAUUCGAUUAUUUUUCCUGCAUCUACAACCAGGACACUGUCGUUGUCCAUGACUGUGUGAAGACGAUGAGCAAUGGUCAACACCGUACACUGGGCAAACUUGGUUAUCAAUAAUUACUUACUCU
Molecule: small RNA, 374 nt
Filed under: Drosophila mojavensis
Lineage: Eukaryota; Metazoa; Arthropoda; Insecta; Diptera; Drosophilidae
Description: GI25712
Source: RNAcentral